Molecule: ribosomal RNA, 496 nt
Filed under: uncultured bacterium
Lineage: Bacteria
Description: partial 16S ribosomal RNA
Rfam family: Bacterial small subunit ribosomal RNA
Source: RNAcentral
AUGAACGCUGGCGGCGUGCCUAAUACAUGCAAGUCGAGCGAACGGACGAGAAGCUUGCUUCUCUGAUGUUAGCGGCGGACGGGUGAGUAACACGUGGAUAACCUACCUAUAAGACUGGGAUAACUUCGGGAAACCGUAGCUAAUACCGGAUAAUAUUUUGAACCGCAUGGUUCAAAAGUGAAAGACGGUCUUGCUGUCACUUAUAGAUGGAUCCGCGCUGCAUUAGCUAGUUGGUAAGGUAACGGCUUACCAAGGCAACGAUGCAUAGCCGACCUGAGAGGGUGAUCGGCCACACUGGAACUGAGACACGGUCCAGACUCCUACGGGAGGCAGCAGUAGGGAAUCUUCCGCAAUGGGCGAAAGCCUGACGGAGCAACGCCGCGUGAGUGAUGAAGGUCUUCGGAUCGUAAAACUCUGUUAUUAGGGAAGAACAUAUGUGUAAGUAACUGUGCACAUCUUGACGGUACCUAACCAGAAAGCCACGGCUAACUACGUG